UACGGGGGGGGCAAGCGUUGUUCGGAAUACUGGGCGUAAAGGCGUGUAGGCGGCCAACUAAGUCCGACGUGAAAUCCCCAGGCUUAACCUGGGAACUGCGUCGGAUACUGGAUGGCUUGAAUCCGGGAGAGGGAUGCGGAAUUCCAGGUGUAGCGGUGAAAUGGCGUAGAUAUCUGGAGGAACACCGGUGGCGAAGGCGGCAUCCUGGACCGGCAUUGACGCUAAAGCGCGAAAGCCAGGGGAGCAAACGGG
RNAcentral lists this ribosomal RNA (252 nucleotides) under uncultured bacterium. RNAcentral describes it as "partial 16S ribosomal RNA". It matches the Rfam family "Bacterial small subunit ribosomal RNA", at positions 524 to 776 of the family's 1533-position model. The record is from RNAcentral.